AGAGACAGGGGAAAAGAAGUGAUAAAUAAGAUGCCAAUGUGAGAGGACCAAAUACAGAGGCCAAAAAUUGAACUAUUUUCGCGUAGCUUGAAUGUGGUGGAGUAUCAUGAGAAAAGCAGUAAAUGAGGAAACUUGCAACGGAUAAAAACAUCUCAGCAAAGUGUGUAUCAAAAGGGGAUUUAUCACUGCCUUGGUACUUGAGCUGUAACCAUAGUUGGGAAAAUGAGAGCGAGAAUAAGAAUGUUCGUAUACUGAGGAGGAGGAGCAUAUUGCUCGGCUUGAAAAUCUGUUGUUGUUCUUUCUUCUGCCAUUGAGGAAGCAAAUUUCGAACUAAUUCUUCUUUGUUUUC
This 349-nucleotide long non-coding RNA is filed under the name Solanum tuberosum (potato). Its description in RNAcentral is "long non-coding RNA (STUB_LNC008545)". Lineage: Eukaryota; Viridiplantae; Streptophyta; Magnoliopsida; Solanales; Solanaceae. The record is from RNAcentral.